This 253-nucleotide ribosomal RNA is filed under the name uncultured bacterium. RNAcentral's name for it is "partial 16S ribosomal RNA". It matches the Rfam family "Bacterial small subunit ribosomal RNA", at positions 524 to 776 of the family's 1533-position model. The record is from RNAcentral.
GACGUAGGGCGCGAGCGUUGUCCGGAUUUAUUGGGCGUAAAGAGCUCGUAGGCGGCUUGUCGCGUCGUCCGUGAAAACCUGCAGCUCAACUGCAGGCUUGCGGUCGAUACGGGCAGGCUAGAGUUCGGUAGGGGAGACUGGAAUUCCUGGUGUAGCGGUGAAAUGCGCAGAUAUCAGGAGGAACACCGGUGGCGAAGGCGGUUCUCUGGGCCGAUACUGACGCUGAGGAGCGAAAGCGUGGGGAGCGAACAGG